Molecule: transfer RNA, 76 nt
Filed under: Pseudomonadota bacterium
Lineage: Bacteria; Pseudomonadati; Pseudomonadota
Also listed under: 4 other names
Description: tRNA-Glu
Rfam family: tRNA
About the family: Transfer RNA (tRNA) molecules are approximately 80 nucleotides in length.
Source: RNAcentral
GGUCCCAUCGUCUAGCGGUCUAGGAUAUCGCCCUCUCACGGCGAAGACACGGGUUCGAUUCCCGUUGGGACUGCCA